Non-coding RNA from Nasonia vitripennis (jewel wasp), 74 nucleotides. NCBI's taxonomy places the organism in Eukaryota, Metazoa, Arthropoda, Insecta, Hymenoptera, Pteromalidae. The record is from Rfam.
GUAGACGUUAGCUCAGUGGUUAGAGCACAGGCCUCUGGCUCUCGGAUCCGCGAGUUCGAGUCCCGUCGUCUACU